RNAcentral lists this long non-coding RNA (296 nucleotides) under Elaeis guineensis (African oil palm). Its description in RNAcentral is "long non-coding RNA (EGUI_LNC030830)". Lineage: Eukaryota; Viridiplantae; Streptophyta; Magnoliopsida; Arecales; Arecaceae. The record is from RNAcentral.
GUUGCAGCCAAAUGCUGGGCUAUGAUUUUUGCCAUUGUGUAUAAUCCUGCCCCUCUACCUAGUGCGCCAAUCUGUUGCGGUCAACUCCCUCAUCGCUUGUCGUCGGAAAUGAGAACCUGCAAAACAACAUCCAUACUGAUCUGAGUUGUCUCCGACGGAGACCCUCCGAUGCAUAAGUCAAAGGGGGAGACUGGGCAACAAUAUUUUUGAAUGAGAAAGGUGGCAAAGCUCAGCUCGAAAGUAGCCUCUCGAUGCUAUUACCUUACCCCCUUUUUAUAGAGAAGAUAGUUGUAACC